AGUGAACGCUGGCGGUAGGCCUAACACAUGCAAGUCGAACGGCAGCACAGUAAGAGCUUGCUCUUACGGGUGGCGAGUGGCGGACGGGUGAGGAAUACAUCGGAAUCUACUUUUUCGUGGGUGAUAACGUAGGGAAACUUACGCUAAUACCGCAUACGACCUACGGGUGAAAGCAGUGGAUCUUCGGACCUUGCGCGAUUGAAUGAGCCGAUGUCGGAUUAGCUAGUUGGCGGGGUAAAGGCCCACCAAGGCGACGAUCCGUAGCUGGUCUGAGAGGAUGAUCAGCCACACUGGAACUGAGACACGGUCCAGACUCCUACGGGAGGCAGCAGUGGGGAAUAUUGGACAAUGGGCGCAAGCCUGAUCCAGCAAUACCGCGUGGGUGAAGAAGGCCUUCGGGUUGUAAAGCCCUUUUGUUGGGAAAGAAAAGCAGCAGGUUAAUACCCCGCUGUUCUGACGGUACCCAAAGAAUAAGCACCGGCUAACUUCGUG
RNAcentral lists this ribosomal RNA (492 nucleotides) under uncultured bacterium. Its description in RNAcentral is "partial 16S ribosomal RNA". It matches the Rfam family "Bacterial small subunit ribosomal RNA", at positions 29 to 507 of the family's 1533-position model. The record is from RNAcentral.